Molecule: ribosomal RNA, 497 nt
Filed under: uncultured bacterium
Lineage: Bacteria
Description: partial 16S ribosomal RNA
Rfam family: Bacterial small subunit ribosomal RNA
Source: RNAcentral
GAUGAACGCUGGCGGCGUGCCUAAUACAUGCAAGUCGAGCGAACAGACGAGGAGCUUGCUCCUCUGACGUUAGCGGCGGACGGGUGAGUAACACGUGGAUAACCUACCUAUAAGACUGGGAUAACUUCGGGAAACCGGAGCUAAUACCGGAUAAUAUAUUGAACCGCAUGGUUCAAUAGUGAAAGACGGUUUUGCUGUCACUUAUAGAUGGAUCCGCGCCGCAUUAGCUAGUUGGUAAGGUAACGGCUUACCAAGGCAACGAUGCGUAGCCGACCUGAGAGGGUGAUCGGCCACACCGGAACUGAGACACGGUCCAGACUCCUACGGGAGGCAGCAGUAGGGAAUCUUCCGCAAAGGGCGAAAGCCUGACGGAGCAACGCCGCGUGAGUGAUGAAGGUCUUCGGAUCGUAAAACUCUGUUAUUAGGGAAGAACAAAUGUGUAAGUAACUAUGCACGUCUUGACGGUACCUAAUCAGAAAGUCACGGCUAACUACGUG